UGAACAGAACUGGAGAUCUUUACUAGAUAAAAAAUUAGAUUAUGCUAAACACAAUUUGUAUUGUAAUUGUACCCACCAUCCAAAGACUCCAUGAUUGGAUAAUAAGAAUCUCACAAGCAAGGCCCACCUUUAGCAUGGCCCAAGCCCAGCAAUCUCUCUCCACUCUCUUGUCUACCCCGCCCUUCAAAACCUCCUCUCACUCCCUCCUCACUCUCAGAGACACAAUCUCUCUCUCCUUCCUUCUCUCUCUCUCUCUCUGCCCUCCGCAAUGGAGCCGUGGCUUGACGACUUAGCCGACGACCUCCAAAGCCUGAGCUUCACGUCCACCACAACCACCAACACCAACACUAC
RNAcentral lists this long non-coding RNA (351 nucleotides) under Malus domestica (apple). Its description in RNAcentral is "long non-coding RNA (MDOM_LNC002703)". The record is from RNAcentral. Lineage: Eukaryota; Viridiplantae; Streptophyta; Magnoliopsida; Rosales; Rosaceae.